Molecule: long non-coding RNA, 1166 nt
Filed under: Vulpes vulpes (red fox)
Lineage: Eukaryota; Metazoa; Chordata; Mammalia; Carnivora; Canidae
Description: lncRNA (ENSVVUG00000008722.1)
Source: RNAcentral
CCACAUCAUGGAGCCAGCUCAUCGGUGAUGGCGCUGAGGCAAGAAGGGCCCUUCUCCAGGAUCAAGGAUAGCGAUAACUUUGUUACACCUGUUGCCACACUGUUUAUGUAUUCCCUCCAUCGAGAUGCAUGGAAACAUCUAUAGAAAUCUUGGGGCAUCACCAUCUGUGAUGGUAGAAAUACCUUCUUCAGGUAUCGACUGCAACUUCACUUUGACUUGUGUCAACUGAAUUUGCCCUUCUGUCUGAGAUAUAACUGAAGGCAGCCUCCCUGUGGCCCUGGACCCAACUCACUUCCGGUCUGACUUAUGAACUUCUGACCGCCCAGGACCUUGACCAACGGCUUGGGUGGGAUUUAUGGUCCAGGACUGUUUGAGUUCAUACCACUGACUGAUGGAAGCACAUGGCCACAUUUUUAUUCCUGACACUGAAAACUUUGCUGAAACCACUCUUGGGUGAAUUGCGUUGAACUUUGCCUGGCAUUUUGUGCCGGUAUUGUUUGCUGAAUACUCUAGUGAGUGCUGAGCUUAUAUUUACUGCAUGAUUUAACUGACAGAUUCCUGGAAGAGAAUGACUUGGUCAGAAUUUUUGGCAUUUACUUCAAAUCUGAGUGUUGAAAAGUUCCCAGUGGCAUGGCUGGCUGCCUGGGCUACAGUGUUGUGUUGACAGCUCCAGUCCUUUUCCUGGCAGCUGAAGACCCAAAGACAGUGACCAAUGAGAGGGUGGCAUUCUCCUCUGAACUUUUCAUUAGACUGGUGAUUCAUCUUGAGACCCACAUUUUAUGAAGGCUGUGAAUUCCAUGCAAUGUAGCUGUUGAGGUGUCUACAUUCAAAUUGGAUUCCAUUAAGUUUAUGGCGUGAUUAAAUGUCUGAAUCAUAAGGAGUCAGGGUUGGAUUUAUGUGCCUUCUGAAAGCACUUUUGAAGACUGGCAGCUUCGAUGAGUGUAAUUUGAUGCGUGGAAUCAGGAGAACAAACCUAAAGAGACAUCAACUCAGAUAUAACAAGGAUCUGAGGAUUGAGCUGACAGGUGGAAGAGAGAACAAGGAGAGACAUUGUCUGGUCUGCAGCAACACCCUUCAAGAAGCCCCCCAUUUCACUCCUGUUCACACCUCACUGCCUGGAGCUUAGUUACAUGGUCACACUUGACCACCACGUGACCUGGGACACG